Unclassified non-coding RNA from Ursus americanus (American black bear), 343 nucleotides. Its record names the gene 7SK. It matches the Rfam family "7SK RNA". Rfam says of the family: 7SK was discovered as an abundant small nuclear RNA in the mid-70s but a possible function has only recently been suggested. NCBI's taxonomy places the organism in Eukaryota, Metazoa, Chordata, Mammalia, Carnivora, Ursidae. The record is from Ensembl.
AGUUGUGAGGGCGAUCUGGCUGCGACAUCUGUCACCCCGUUGAUUGCCAGGGUUGAUUCGACUGAUCUGGCUGGCUAGGCAGGUGCCCCCUUCCUCCCUCACCGCUCCAUGUGCAUGCACCCUGCACCCCUGCCCCAAAGCUGCAUGCUCAGUCAAAGGUGACAGCCUUCCCUGAUAGAGGAGGACUGUUCUUCGGUCAAGGGUGUAUGAGUAGCUGAGCUCCCCUGCUAGAACCUUCAAACAAGCUCUCAAGGUCCAUUUGUAGGAAAACGUCAUGUGGUCAAGCUUCCAAGACUCCAGAUGCAUCCAAUGAGACGCUGCCUGUGGCAGCCUGCCUUUCUUU